AUUGAACGCUGGCGGCAGGCCUAACACAUGCAAGUCGAACGAGGGGCGGACGGGUGAGUAAUGUCUGGGAAACUGCCUGGUGGGGGGGGAUAACUACUGGAAACGGGAGCAAAUACCGCAUACCAACGGAUGUGCCCAGAUGGGAUUAUCUAGUAGGUGGGGUAAAGGCUCACCUAGGCGACGAUCCCUAGCUGGUCUGAGAGGAUGACCAGCCACACUGGAACUGAGACACGGUCCAGACUCCUACGGGAGGCAGCAGUGGGGAAUAUUGCCCAAUGGGCGCAAGCCUGAUGCAGCCAUGCCGCGUGUGUGAAGAAGGCCUUCGGGUUGUAAAGUACUUUCAGCGGGGAGGCGUUACCCGCAGAAGAAGCACCGGCUAACUCCGUGCCAGCAGCCGCGGUAAUAC
RNAcentral lists this ribosomal RNA (406 nucleotides) under uncultured bacterium. RNAcentral describes it as "partial 16S ribosomal RNA". It matches the Rfam family "Bacterial small subunit ribosomal RNA", at positions 29 to 526 of the family's 1533-position model. The record is from RNAcentral.